UACGUAGGGACCAAGCGUUGUUCGGAUUUACUGGGCGUAAAGGGCGCGUAGGCGGCAUAUUAAGUCAGCUGUGAAAUCUCCGAGCUUAACUCGGAACUGUCAGCUGAUACUGAUGUGCUAGAGUGCAGAAGGGGCAAUCGGAAUUCUUGGUGUAGCGGUGAAAUGCGUGGAUAUCAAGAGGAACACCUGAGGUGAAGACGGGUUGCUGGGCUGACACUGACGCUGAUAGCGCGAAAGCCAGGGGAGCAAACGGG
RNAcentral lists this ribosomal RNA (254 nucleotides) under uncultured bacterium. Its description in RNAcentral is "partial 16S ribosomal RNA". It matches the Rfam family "Bacterial small subunit ribosomal RNA", at positions 524 to 776 of the family's 1533-position model. The record is from RNAcentral.